Oncorhynchus keta (chum salmon) is the source of this 1038-nucleotide long non-coding RNA. RefSeq lists it as uncharacterized. NCBI's taxonomy places the organism in Eukaryota, Metazoa, Chordata, Actinopteri, Salmoniformes, Salmonidae. The transcript is spliced from 3 exons. The record is from RefSeq and is a predicted model, not a curated record.
CAGGAAUGUAGGAGAGGAGACCUGGGUACAGAGGUCAGGGGUUAGACAGGAAUGGAGGAGAGGGGAGAUGGGUACAGAGGUCAGGGUUGGGAUCCUAGAGGCCUUUUGGGGAGGAGUCAGACAGACAGACAGACAGACAGACUCCUCUCUCCCCUCAGGUUGAGUUGGGUUGGGAUCCUAGAGGCCUUUUGGAGAGGAGUCAGACAGACAGACAGACAGACAGACAGACAGACAGACAGACAGACUCCUCUCUCCCCUCAGGUUGAGUUGGGUUGGGAUCCUAGAGGCCUUUUGGAGAGGAGUCAGACAGACAGACAGACAGACAGACAGACAGACAGACAGACAGACAGACAGACUCCUCUCUCCCCUCAGGUUGAGUUGGGUUGGGAUCCUAGAGGCCUUUUGGAGAGGAGUCAGACAGACAGACAGACAGACUCCUCUCUCCCCUCAGGUUGAGUUGGGUUGGGAUCCUAGAGGCCUUUUGGAGAGGAGUCAGACAGACAGACAGACUCCUCUCUCCCCUCAGGUUGAGUUGGGUUGGGAUCCUAGAGGCCUUUUGGGGAGGAGUCAGACAGACAGACAGACAGACUCCUCUCUCCCCUCAGGUUGAGUUGGGUUGGGAUCCUAGAGGCCUUUUGGAGAGGAGUCAGACAGACAGACAGACUCCUCUCUCCCCUCAGGUUGAGUUGGGUUGGGAUCCUAGAGGCCUUUUGGGGAGGAGUCAGACAGACAGACAGACAGACUCCUCUCUCCCCUCAGGUUGAGUUGGGUUGGGAUCCUAGAGGCCUUUUGGGGAGGAGUCAGACAGACAGACAGACAGACUCCUCUCUCCCCUCAGGUUGAGUUGGGUUGGGAUCCUAGAGGCCUUUUGGAGAGGAGUCAGACAGACAGACAGACAGACUCCUCUCUCCCCUCAGGUUGAGUUGGGUUGGGAUCCUAGAGGCCUUUUGGAGAGGAGUCAGACAGACAGACAGACAGACAGACAGACAGACAGACAGACAGACUCCUCUCUCCCCUCAGGUUGAGUUGGGUUGGGAU